UGCUAGCUUGCUAGAACCUACACACAGGUGCUGCACGGCUGUCGUCAGCUCGUGUCGUGAGAUUGUUGGGUUAAGUCCCGCAACGAGCGCAACCCUCGUCCUUAGUUGCUAACAGUUCGGCUGAGCACUCUAGGGAGACUGCCUUCGCAAGGAGGAGGAAGGUGAGGACGACGUCAAGUCAUCAUGGCCCUUACGGCCAGGGCUACACACGUGCUACAAUGGGGCGUACAGAGAGCUGCGAUACCGCGAGGUGGAGCCAAUCUCUUAAAGCGUCUCUCAGUUCGGAUUGUUCUCUGCAACUCGAGAACAUGAAGCUGGAAUCACUAGUAAUCGCAGAUCAGCUAUGCUGCGGUGAAUACGUUCCCGGGUCUU
Molecule: ribosomal RNA, 372 nt
Filed under: uncultured Sulfuricurvum sp.
Lineage: Bacteria; Pseudomonadati; Campylobacterota; Epsilonproteobacteria; Campylobacterales; Sulfurimonadaceae
Description: bacterial SSU rRNA
Rfam family: Bacterial small subunit ribosomal RNA
Source: RNAcentral